CUGAAGGGUCUAAAUAAGCUAUUUGGUGGAUGACUCGGCUUGAAGUCUGACGACGGGCGUAGCAAGUUGCGAUAAGCUUGGGGGAGAUGCAGGCAAUCCUUGAUCCCAAGAUUCCCCAAUCAUUCCGAGAGGAAGAAUCACGCGGUGAAUUGAAACAUCUCAGUAACCGCAGGAAAAGAAAGCAAGAGCGAUUCCGUUAGUAGUGGCGAACCAAAGCGGAACAGGGCAAACCGAAUCCACCGUGGUGACGUGGUGGAAAUGUGGUGUUCGGACCGUCUUCAACUUUCAAAGAGAUCUCAAAGUCCCCUGGAACGGGGCGGCGUAGAAGGUGAUACCCCUGUAGAGAGGUCUGCGAAAGUCGUUAUGGCGAGUUCCAGAGUAGCGUUACGUGAAAGUAGCGUGAACCCGGGGGUACCAACCCCUAACUCUAAAUAUGGCUCAAGACCGAUAGAGGACUAGUACCGUGAGGGAAUGUUGAAAAGUAUCCUGAGAAGGAGCUGAAAAGAUCUGAACCCAAAUAGCGAUAUGCGUUACUGCCUGGAAGCUAAAACCCCCGAACAUUAGGAGGGGGUGUUAUGCAGGGUGGUAACUUCAGUCAUGAAGCACUGGGCAGGGAGUUUAUUUAUGUGGCGAGGCUAACCUGAAAAAGGGUAACCGAAGGGAAACCGAAAACCCGCAGCAUGCGAGGGGUGGUGUCUUAAACUGGCACUAUAGUCACAUGGGUAAGACCUGAAGCCUGGCGAUCUACACGUGAGCAGGAUGAAACCGGCGCUCAAGCCGGUGGAGGUCCGCAACUAGUGCACAAUUCAACUGGCUUAGGUGACUUGCGUGUAGGGGUGAAAUUCCAAUCGAGCCAGGCGAUAGCAGGUUCCUAUCGAUACACGCCGUAGUGUGGCCUCGGUCGAGACAGAUGGCAUGGUAGAGCACUAAUUUGGAAGUUAUGGAGAGAAAUCUUCGGCUUCCUUGUUAAACUCCAAACGUGUCAUCGUCGUAGAAGCCGGGAGUCGGGGCGUCGGGGUAAGCUUGACGUCCGGAAGGGGAACAACCCAGCCCAUGGUUAAGGUCCCUAAUAGGCAGCUAAGUGUAAAUACAAACGAUGUCACAACCCUAAAACAGCUGGGAGGUAGGCUCAGAAGCAGCCAUCCUUUAAAGAGUGCGUCAUAGCUCACCAGUCUAGGGGGGUGGCGCGGAAAAUUGACGGGGCUAAAGUUGCCAACCGAUACCAUGGAUACCAACAGUAGUUGGUAGCGUAGAUAGGCGAUGUGCGAGAGCAGAAGCUAGGCCGUAAGGUCUUGUGGAUCUCGUUCAUUUGAAAAUCCUGCUGAAAGUAACAGCCACAGAACAGUGAGAACCUGUUCCGCCGAAAGGGCCAGGGUUUCUCAGCCAUGCUUGUCAGCUGAGAGUAAGUCGAUCCUAAGUGCAUUCCUAACCGACGUGCACAAAAGGGAAUCAGGUUAAUAUUCCUGAACCUAACGGAUACGCGCGGCGACGCAUGUCCAUCGCGUGACGCUUUGGGGUAGGUGAAGCACAACCGUCGUUGUGUCUAAAAGGAAUAAGGUUGUGGAGUAUCGUAAUGAUGAGAAACAACCUAAAUCCUUGAAUGGCCCACAUUUGUGGGUUUUGCCAAGCCCUGGAGUCCAUGAAAAGCGUGAUGGAAAGGAUUCCGUUAGAUCGUACCAAGAACUGACACAGGUGCCCCUAGCUGAAAAAGCUUAGGCGUGGCGGGCCAGCCGUCUUAAGGGAACUCGGCAAAUUAGUCUUGUACCUUCGGAAGAAGAGAUGCCUACCCUCCUUCGGGAAUGGUAGGUCGCAGUGACAAGGGGGGAGCGACUGUUUACCAAAAACACAAGUCCUCGCUAGCCCGUGAGGGUUUGUACGGGGGCUGACAUCUGCUCACUGCCAGUACGUGAAUACCUGGUACAACGGGAGUAAGCGCUGGUGAAGAGCGGGCCUAACUCUGAGGCUCAACACAAAAAGGAGUUAGGAAACAGCAACCACAACAAGCAACAACAACCACAAAAAAAAUUUGGUUAAGCAGUUAGUAUACAUGUAUUACGCAGCCUGAAAAGGGCCUCGUAAAACCUGGCUAUGUGCGGGAAACUCCGAAGUAUCCGACACUACCCGAGUCUUAUCAACUCCUGCUAUCAAAUCGAUAGCAGAAAAGGGUAAAAACGUGAUCGGUGCGGACAAUCCGCAGGGAAGUCGUGAUUGACCCCUCAGAGACUACACGCCAAGGGCUCUCGAUUUAUCGAGAGGCAUGAUAUAGUCCGAUCCUAAUAGCGAUAUUAGGCACACCAAUAAUACAAAGGAAAACACAGAUGCUUAAGGUAGCGUAAUACCUCGUCGCUUGAUUGGCGACUUGCAUGAAUGGUGUAACGUCUCCGCCACUGUCCCUAAGACGGACCCGGUGAAAUUGUUUGCUGGUGAAGAUACCAGUAAUUCCUAGUGGGGCGCAAAGACCCCGUGGAGCUUUACCGCAGCCUGUUGUUAUGGCUUGUUUUUGCAUACAUAGAGUAGUUGGGAGACUUCGAAGCAGAGUCUUCGGGUUUUGUGGAGUCGACGAUGUAACACCAACUAUACAAAAACAAGUUGUUUACUUCGAGAGAGGGACAGCAGUAGGUGGGCGGUUUGACUGGGGCGGUACGCCCUUGAAACGAUAUCAAGGGUGCCCAAUGGUCACCUCAUCCGUGUUAGAAACACGGAGUAGAGAGUCAAGGACAAAUGGUGGCCUGACAGUGUUCCGUACAGAGAGGAACGCUGACACGAAAGUGCGGCCUAGUGAUCACCAAUACUCUUUUGGUGGGAGUUUGGUCUGUCAGAAAAGUUACCCCGGGCGUAACGGGAUCGUCGCGGGCGAGAGUCCAUAUCGACCCCGCGGUUUGUCACCUCGCUUUUGGCACGUGUCAUCCUGGCAGUGCAUAAGCUGCCAAGGGUAGGGUUGUUCAUCCAUUAAAGACGCACGCGAGCUGAGUUCAGUCCGUCGCGAGACAGGACGGCGGCACCUACUAGGAAUGUUGAUUAUCUGAGGGGAAGGCACUUCAAGUACGAGAGGAACGUGGUGUCGGCGCCUCUGGUGUACCGGUUGUCCGACAGGGCAGCGCCGGGCAGCUACGCGCCAGCUUAUAAGAGCUGAAAGCAUCUAAGCUCGAAGGAGCCCCUAAAAAGAGAUAGUCACUCUCAAGUACUUGUAUUUGAGACGACGGCUCCCAUAGAAGAUGGGUUUGAUAGGCACGACGUGUAAGUGUUUAGGCUUCGGCCGAGGCAUUCAGCGUGCGUGUACUAAACGCCGGAGGGACUCUUCAU
RNAcentral lists this ribosomal RNA (3303 nucleotides) under Nanobdellati archaeon. Its description in RNAcentral is "23S ribosomal RNA". It matches the Rfam family "Archaeal large subunit ribosomal RNA". Lineage: Archaea; Nanobdellati. The record is from RNAcentral.